Molecule: ribosomal RNA, 900 nt
Filed under: Bacillus sp. (in: firmicutes)
Lineage: Bacteria; Bacillati; Bacillota; Bacilli; Caryophanales; Bacillaceae
Description: bacterial SSU rRNA
Rfam family: Bacterial small subunit ribosomal RNA
Source: RNAcentral
GGUGAGUAACACGUGGGCAACCUGCCUGUAAGACUGGGAUAACUCCGGGAAACCGGAGCUAAUACCGGAUAGUACCUUGAACCGCAGGGUUCAAGUAGGAAAGACGGUUUCGGCUGUCACUUACAGAUGGGCCCGCGGCGCAUUAGCUAGUUGGUGAGGUAAUGGCUCACCAAGGCAACGAUGCGUAGCCGACCUGAGAGGGUGAUCGGCCACACUGGGACUGAGACACGGCCCAGACUCCUACGGGAGGCAGCAGUAGGGAAUCUUCCGCAAUGGACGAAAGUCUGACGGAGCAACGCCGCGUGAGUGAUGAAGGUUUUCGGAUCGUAAAACUCUGUUGUUAGGGAAGAACAAGUGCGAGAGUAACUGCUCGCACCUUGACGGUACCUAACCAGAAAGCCACGGCUAACUACGUGCCAGCAGCCGCGGUAAUACGUAGGUGGCAAGCGUUGUCCGGAAUUAUUGGGCGUAAAGCGCGCGCAGGCGGUUUCUUAAGUCUGAUGUGAAAGCCCCCGGCUCAACCGGGGAGGGUCAUUGGAAACUGGGAAACUUGAGUGCAGAAGAGGAGAGUGGAAUUCCACGUGUAGCGGUGAAAUGCGUAGAGAUGUGGAGGAACACCAGUGGCGAAGGCGACUCUCUGGUCUGUAACUGACGCUAAGGAGCGAAAGCGUGGGGAGCGAACAGGAUUAGAUACCCUGGUAGUCCACGCCGUAAACGAUGAGUGCUAAGUGUUUAGAGGGUUUCCGCCCUUUAGUGCUGCAGCUAACGCAUUAAGCACUCCGCCGGGGGAGUACGGUCGCAAGACUGAAACUCAAAGGAAUUGACGGGGGCCGCACAAGCGGUGGAAGCAGGUGGUUUAAUUCGAAGCAACGCGAAGAACCUUACCAGGUCUUGACAUCC